Molecule: long non-coding RNA, 712 nt
Filed under: Sorghum bicolor (sorghum)
Lineage: Eukaryota; Viridiplantae; Streptophyta; Magnoliopsida; Poales; Poaceae
Description: long non-coding RNA (SBIC_LNC016799)
Source: RNAcentral
GCGGCUGGCGGCGGAGAGGUUCCGGAUGUGCUUGGACAGCUCUGCGUUCUUGAGGUGGACGAAAGCCGCGCUGAUGAGCACCUCCCUCGUCUGAUCGCUGCAGAGAAUUGAAUCACACUACCACCUCAGUCGCUGUCCGUGCCAUCGUAGUAGUAAUAAUAAUAAUAAAUAAACAAAACAAACUAACUAAAAAGCCAUGUGCUGCGGUUUGUGUGGAUCAAGUAGCUCCUCUUGCUUUUUCCAGAACACGGCUCCGAUCGUGCCUUCCAUGCCAUCGCUUGUGGAUAAAGAAAAGCUAAUAACGAUAUGUACUACCAGUAGUACGAACCGCUAGAACAGAGGAAGUGCUAGUACUAGUACUCGAGUGAGUGAAGUGGGGAAGCCAUCAGAUAUUGAUCAGAUUCAUGGAGAAGGCAAGGUGAGCAGCAGCGGCGCAGAUCGAUGCGUCUCGAGCGAUGUGCUGUGCCAAAUCGGAUCGCACUAGGGCAGUAGCCAAUCGGAUCUUCCACGAAUCCCACCCACCAACCGAAUCGAACUCGAUUAUUACCUACUACUUACCUGAGGUAGUAAGGGAACUCGUCGAAGGUGACGUCGCACUCGCGGCCGUCGAGUACCAGCCGCCGCAGCUCGGCCUCCAGCUCUGCGCCGCCGGCGCCGAAACCGUCGCCGUUGGGCGCCGGCUGUACCGCCCACUUGGCCGACGCGAGCCCCA